RNAcentral lists this long non-coding RNA (3188 nucleotides) under Homo sapiens (human). RNAcentral describes it as "non-protein coding UBR5-AS1:4". Lineage: Eukaryota; Metazoa; Chordata; Mammalia; Primates; Hominidae. The record is from RNAcentral.
CAGUGGUGCAAUCUCGGCUCACUGCAACCUCUGAACCCCUGGUUCAAGUGAUACUCCUGCCUCAGCCUCCCAAGCAGCUGGGAUUACAGGCAUGUGCCACCACACCCAGCUAAUUUUUGUAUUUUUAGUAGAGACGGGGUUUCACCAUGUUGGCCAGGAUGCGCUCUAUCUCCUGACCUCAAGUGAUCCGCCCGCCUUGGCCUCCCAAAGUGCUAGGAUUACAGGCGUGAGACACGGCGCCCAGUUGACUGUUUUGUUUUCACUCACUCCUCCAUAUGGGUAGUUGAGGAUCACUAUGACUGUUUUUAUGUAGGCAGAAUUUUUAAGAAAACAACAUAAAUUUAGAUAUUUGUUCCGUAAAGUUACUAAAAAGUAAAUAUAUUAAAGGUGAUUGUCACAUAAGCCUUCCAAUCACAGUGCCUGUGAUUUCAUUAGACAAAACUGAACAUAUAAAAAUGUAGUUGGCUACCUGGGAGCCUGAAGCACUUUAUUUACAGAUACUUUCUUAGGGCUAACUCAAAACACAUCUAAUCAGAACCAUGCCAUAAGCUUGCCAGAGAAUGACAAUGCAUUUAAACAUCGUAAAUAGCCAAAUUUCACCUUCCCCAUUGAAGACAGCAUUUCAGAUACAAGUACAUGGCCUGGUAAUGUUUUUCCAGAAGAGAUCCUACUUGUAUCAAAGUCAGCCUGUAGCAGUGCAAACUACUGACUUAAAGUUUAGCAGCUAAAAAUAGAGUCUGAAAAGAUUCAGAAAAUUGAGUUAUUUUACCCAUGAAACAAACAUCUGCUCUUUUAGAGCAAGCAGCUCUUUAUACCUUAUGAGAAAGCUCAAGAACAAAAAAGUUAGCUUUUCAUUUUAAGGUACCAUGGUUGAUUUUAGACAGUUCUCAUAUCUUCAAAUUAUUAUCCUGGGGAAAAUUAUGCAGGACAAAAGUGUUUUUUAGAAAUAUUUAGCAAAAAUAUAUGAAUUACUGCCUUUUCAUAAUGCAGCCAGGACUUGCAUCGGAAUAUUUGAUUAUCCUAUGACCAACUCACUUAUACCUUCCACAGAAUACUAUAGCACAACGUGUAGUAUAUACAAGCUCCAGAAUGCUUGGAGAUGUACCUCACUUUAGCACUAAGUAGCUGUGUAACUUUGAGCAAGUUGUUUAACCUGUGUCUCCAUUCCUCUCGAGGAUCAUAAUAGUCUUUCUCAUGGGGUAAAAUAAUACAUGUGGAACACUCAACAAGAUGCAUGGCACACAGUAAGUACUGUAAUAAAAGUAAUUUAGAGAAACAGAAGAUACUUUGCUUAACCCAAGAUACCUUGAGGUAAAUUUAAAAGUCACAUUUUAAAUACAUUCCUAUUGUUUUUCAUACAACUAUCACUUCUGUGGUAAUCAAAUGGUGUUUAAAUAAUCUAUGUUUAUGCCUACUUACAUAGGUUAACAUAAACAGUAAAAAUAUUUUCAUUCACUACCCAAGCACAGUCUAUUGAAGGCACUUCCAACCAGCCCCUUAUCAGUAGGAAGAAUCCAACCUAGGACUAGUUUAUCAAUAGAUGUACUUUUCCAUAGAUUGUAAGCAGUUCUAAGUAGGAAAGGUUUGGCUCUCAGGAGCUUUCAGCGGGACAUUUAUAUUUGUAAAUAAAAAGGAAAUAUUCUUUGGGCAGUGUUUCAGAAUCACCUGGGAUGAUCUGCAUGAAGAUUCCUGGCCUCCACCAAAGACUUACUGAAUCAGAAAGGAGGCAAGAGGAUGAGGAAUGCUUAAGAAUCUGCAUUAACAAACUUUACAAAUGAAUCUUACAACAUACAGAAGCAUGGAAACUACUGCCUCAAGGGAUUAUCUCAACUUGAGUUUAAACAUAGGAAUUGCUGACUACCUUUAAAAUGUAAAAAUAGUAUCUUUAUGGGAGGGAUGUUGUUUGGGGGCAGCUACUAAAUAGUGAAAUCAUUCCUUUAAAAUACCCUCUCAAGUCUGCCCCAGUUAUCCAUUUUACUGGAUAGUCUUGGUAUCCAGAUGAUUUAGGGAAAAAAAUAGUAGUAGCAAACUCUGAAAACACUCAGUAAAGUUCAUUCUUGGUCUUCUCUUCCUAAAUUUGUUUUCAAUUGUUAGAUUUAAACACUAAACAAGACCAAAAGAGAACUUUAUUUUACAUGUCUUUAUUUUACAUUUAGAACCGUUUUAUGAUUUACUUAAAAAAAAAAUCUUUUACUAUUAUUAGAAGUAUUUUUUAACCAAAAUCUUGAUUUAGGAAGACUUAAGACAUUGUGCAUUAUUUUAAAUAUUUUCAUUUCAGUAACUAUUAAAAAUAAAUUCACAAUUAGGGUUUCAAAUGUCCUAAUCAUAUCUAGUUUGUUCUCAUUUAAUAUUUUAUCAAUCCCAUCAUGUGCAUACAGAGGUUAAGGUGAUGUAUAAAUUUUAUAUCUUUCAAACACAUUGAUGCUAAUCAGCUCUUGAUCUAAUUACUAUUUCAUUUAUUCAGAAAUAGCAUUUAGACAUAAAAACCAAUGUCUCACUUUGUAAAAUAACCUUUGGCUAAUUUACACACAUCUAAUACAGCGUGUUAUAUAAGUUUUAAGUAAUACAAUGAGUCACUACUAUCAUUCAGUUUUAAAUAUUUUUAGUGUUAACAGGGCUGAGAAUAUCAUGUGGUUCAGUCUUCUGAAGGAAGUUAUAUAAUAAAAGCAUAGUGCCUUUGAACAUGAAGACUAUCCUCAAGGCCAGAAAUCCUACAAAGGAACUGAAAGGAGAGAUUCCAGAGAAUUGCUCUCCUCAUUUUUAAUAUGUAAAGUGACUGUUUUAAGUCACUUCAUUGAAGACUUAAGGAAGAAAACAGUGUUAUUAUGCCACUGAAUAAAGCUACUUAAACCAGAGUAAUUUUGGGAUAUUAAUCCUAGGCUACAUAAUUAAUAGGUCAUCAAAACAAAAACCUGUCAGUUAUUAGGUGUAAGUUAACUUCCUAUGCCAAGUAAGGGGUCACACUUCACUUCCCCCAUUUGUAAAAUGAAAAGGUGGCCAGGCCAGUGCCAUUUAGGAUUCUCUGCUAACUGUAAAAUGUGGACUGAUUUUCUUCUGUUUCUUAUAGUCCAGGUGUAUAUAAACUUCCAGUUCUUUAAGUCAAAAUUUUUAUGCACAUAACCAUGUCAGUGUAUUGCCCUUAGUUUAAAAAUGUACAACUACAUAAAUAAAAACUAUUGUUUCUUCAA